CUGUUAGAGGAAUGUGGGAGCAUCUCCUAGGGUAGCUUAGUGGCUUCUUUGCAGCUCAGGAACAUCCCUGUGAGUAGACAGUAUUUUGUACUUCUUCUCUCUAAGUUCUUUUUAAGUGGAUGAGCUAGAUUAGCUGUUUAAAACUUUUAGUUACAGAAAUAUUUCCCUCAUGUGCAGUAGUGUCCUGUUGCACUUCAGAUUUGUAUAAUAGUAGAUUGUUUCACUAGAGGAGCAAAUUGCAAUGGUAGCCACAUGCAUUGCCUUUUACAUUACUGUUGUUAUGUGUCUGAAAUGCCUCCCUGUCAGUUUAAUUUGAGAAACUUCAGGGACUGAACUGGGCAGUUAGUCAAGUGAGCUUCCACGUACCAUGUGGGCUCAGGCCUUGGAGCCUUCUUUGAAGAUGUACAGGGAAUAGGAAUGUGCAGCACCAGCAAGCAAUACGAAGCCUGUUGUCAGGGAGCCCACAGGCAGAGCAGUUCACACACAAACACACACGGGGGGGGGGGCUUGACAGUUAGUUUCUUUAUUAAGGAAAGCAAAAGAAAGAACACACGUAGACUUCUAAAGGGUAAUCCUGUCUUAAUGAAGCAGUUGUUUGAACUGGUGUGUAGCCCGUCCUUCACUCCCUAGCCCUCUGUGUCAGGCCUCUUCCUCUGUGCUCCUCUGUUGUGACAAGCUCCAAGGGACUCCCUCUAUGUCUGCUUGGCUUGCUGCUCAGCAACAUGCAAUAAGAGCCUCUUUCUAGGAGGGUGGGAGCUGUCAGAGUGGCUCUGUCAUCACUGUCGGUACCUGCGUCCAAACUGGAAACCUCCUUACUCUGUCCUGUUCUAGCAUUGCUUCUCACACUCCCCAGCUCAUCCCCUCCUCUGAGGUGUGGCCAGUGUCCCACCACCAAUCCCCAAGCUUGCAAUCCUCUUCCUCUGUGUCUUCUUGGGGGGGGGGGGCUCUUGGUUGGGCAGAUUCCACCACUCUUCCUCAUCCAGUCAGUCCUGUGGGUUGUUUGUGCUCAAUACUGAUGGUUGUAGAAACCUGUUGCUUGGCCACAGCAUCUGAGCUGAGCUAGGAUCUUAUUGCCCCAUGUUUUAUCAUUUAUCCUAUACCCUAUUUUACCACACACACUCUGCAAAGCAGGACUAAAAUAAAUACUGUUGUACGUCGUAUGCUACUUGUACAUUAUUUGCCUUUAUUUAUGAUCUUUUGCCACUUCAUUGUUUGUGUGUGUGUUUUAAGUUUUGUUCUCAGCUAGAGUAGACUUGCGUGAGUAACAAUAGAAAUGAACAGUUCUCAGAGGCUUGUGCUUUUAACUUGUGAUUACAUUGAGCACUGGUGAAAAUGGAAGAUGCUAAUUUCACAGCGUGGGAUGAGAGAUUCAGCAAGAUAGAAGAGCAAAGACUAUUUAGGAUUAGAAGUAACAGUAUGGCUGUGAGUGAAGUAAUGACGAUGAUUAUGUGAUAAUGGCACAGUUACAAUGCUUUAUGAGGCAGUAAUCUGGCUCCCCACUGGACAGUCUCGGCUUGCACCCUCAUACUUUAUCUCAAUAAGGGGAAUGGAUUGUUUCUGAGUAGCGCAGCAGGACGACAACAACAUUGCUUUCAUUUUACAAGCCAGUGCUUCGGCAAAAUGUGCAACACGCCAGAAUGGGAUGAAGUGAGAAUGGAGGCAAAAAAAUGGAGAACCAGUACUUGUGGCCCUUGGGGACACUUAUAUGUUAGUUGAAUGAAUAUGAGAUAUUUCAGAAGUCUAGGCAGCCAACUAAUUAAAGUUAAUUUGCUCUUUUACUUCUAAACAAUCACCCUGAUUAAUUGUCUUCUAACAUAACUCCAAAGGUAGGAAAGGAGACUUCUAGGUUCAGCUCUUGGUAGUUCUGUCAACUUUGGAACAGCAGGAAAUGACAUUCUGGGAGAGGACUUUCUGUUGGAGGUGCAGCAGCAAGGAUCAUUCACUUCAUAACUUAAAGGGUUAAUUCUGUUUUCACUGUUAAUAAACUACUCAAGAUGGGUGUGUGGAGGUAAUACUUAGCAACCAGUAAGCAUGAUCUUCACUGAGGUAACAUGUGCCUUGAUCAUCUUGUUCAGAGGGACUUUUUUGGCAUAUGUUUUCCCUGCUAUGUACAAGGCUUGAAACUAGGAAAGACAAAAAUCUUACUGAUUUAUUUGUAUUUAUAGUUUUGGACUAUAGUUCCUAUCAUCUCUGACCAUUGGUCAUGCUGGCUGGGGCUAAUGGUAGUUCAAAACAUUAGGAAGACAUCAGGUUGGAGAAGGCUGAUCUAGUUCAUCAUUCUGUUUCCAGGAGUGUCCAAAGUGACCAACUAAAUACCUCUGGGAAGGCACAAUAGUGAUCACCUCAGUCUCCAGCACUGGAAAUAUAUUGCUCCUAUAAGUGAUGUGUUUAUUCCUAGGUUAUUUAAUAUGUACAGAGCAUAAUGACCUUUAAUCCAUCUGAAAAACUCAUGGCAUCCCCAUGCUACCUAAGAGUGAGCUGUCACAGCAUGCACAAUAUACAUUAUAUUAAUGACUCAGUAUGUAUUAAUUACUUGAUAACAUGGAUAUGUGUAACUGCCUGCAUUACACAGUGUUAAUACUAAGUGGCUGUAUAGAUAGCAUCUGUUGAUUAGAGCUUCUUACAGAACAUCUUCAACUGGGAACAAACAUUACAAAAGUGGUAUGAUGGCUAGGUUCUACCUCCACUGCUAGAGGCAGUAUUCAUUUGAUGUGAGUUUCUUGGGUAUCACAAGUGGGGAGAGUGCUGUUGCAGCAUGCUUGCAGGCCUCCUAAAGGCAUCUAGUUGACUACUGUGAGAGCUGGAUAAUAACAAGCCUUUGGCUUGAUUCAGCAGGUUCUUACUACUUUAGAGGACCCUUUUUCUUUCUGUCCACCCCCCAGCAGCCUGUUCACCCCCCCAACACUUUUCUUUACAGCUAAGCUAUGACAUCAGAAGAACCUUUGGAGAGAAGGUCUGUGGAGAGGUAGGGUUGGGGGUUGAGACGGUGCUCUGCAUUCCUUAUCCUCACAACCCUUUGGCUGCUUAAGAUAGAUGCUGUCCCCCACGCCUCUUUCUACAUAAUUGGGGCAGCUCCAUGUUUAAACACACAGACUGCCUGUGAACAUAAUGUCUGGCAUUGGUAUGGAGCUACAAGUUUGAAUGUAUGAACUUACUCUAGAUAGGGCUGGUUAAUCUCCACUCAGUGAGCAUGCAUAGACAAUCACUGUACCACUCAUUGAUAAUAGGAGUAUGCCGCCCCCCCACAUAAAUAAGUAAAUAAAAACCAUCAUCACUUGAUACACAUGCUUGACUAACCUACCCUAAGCUCAGAGAGCUCAUCACAGCAUAGUUCGUUCUAUGGGUUGGCAAUUCAGAGUAAUGUUUAUUGGUGCCUACCAGUAAAGGAAGGAAGAAAAUUAGCAGGUAACUAUUUUGAUACCUAGGCCACGAAGGGUUAUAGUAUUAACUGGGGUAAGGAGGGCAUAGGAGCAGAGAACACAAUAAACAUUUCACAUCCUUUGCUUGAAAUCCCUUCUCUACCCUGACGUGGAGCACAGACAACCGGUAGCAAAUACUUAGUGCCAGAUUUUCCAGGAAGUAUUGUUUAAGCAAGGUUUUACUAGAAUAACUGGUUUGGCUAGAAUAAUUAUGUGAGAAAGUUAUUCAGAAACCCACCAGAUCUUUCGUAAAAUAGACAUGCAAUUUAGAUGGUGAUUGUUGUUGUUGUGAUUGUUAUUAGUAUCUUUGUUGUAGUUCACUGAUGGAUGUACUAGGGGGAGAAGGAACCAUUUUAGAUAAACAUCUCCUUAUGGUGAAAGAGGUUUGAAAUUAUGUGCAAACUAGGGAAAAUAGAUUUAAAUUUAACUGCAGCAACACUUUCAACUUGGUAGAUGAAUAAUGGUACAAAAAUAGCAAGGGAUUCUGAGGAAGAGCAUAUGUUCUUCAGCAAAUGAGAAGUGUAUGCAUAAAAAAGAAAUUAUAUAGAUAAACAUAACUUUCAGAAGGGAAGGUAUUUCUCUGACAAAUCAAUAGAAAAUGGACAUAGCAGUGAUGCCAAACUAGGAUGAUCACAUAAUGAUUCAUCCUUUCAUUAAAGGCUGAAUUGGGACCCCUACACCUCUGACUUUCUAAUAUUAGAAGUAUCUCACAGGGACUUGACUCUGAAAGAAGCCCCAGGCAGCAGUAAAUCAAUACACAAUACAAUUUUUAAAGAGUAUUUAAAAUCAUGUAUCUUCACAGCUAUAUCAUUUGAGUGUUUCCAGGAACAUUAUAUUUCAGCCAUCAAGUGCCCAGAUGAACAGAAAUGUUUUGAAUUCCAUAAAUGAAGGACCACUACUAAGGAGACCCUGUCAUGAGUCAGCUCCAUCCACAUACAAGCCUGUUUUGUUUUUUAAAUAAAUAUAGCAUCCCUGUUUCACCUGUUGUCCACCAGUUUUAUUGCCUGCCUAUCCAUUCCCAGGUCCAAUUUAAGGUGCUGUUUUUAAAGCCCUAAAUGGUUUGGGACCAGACUAGCUGAAGGGUUGCAUUUGUACCAGACUGCCCAGGCAUUGAAAUAAAGAUUUAAAGCCCUCCUCUCUGAUCUACCCGUGAGAGCUGUGGAAUUAGCAAGUACCAGGAAUGGGUUCUUUUCUAUGGUGGCGCCACAUCUUUGAAGUAUACUUCUCCCAAGAAGUAUAUUGUAUGCCCCUCUUUUUCUGGCCUUUUGGAGGAUUUUAAAGACCUAUUUAUUGCAGUCCGCAGUUGGUUAAUUUGGGUGUGCUGUGUUUUCAGUUGUGGUUUAAUCUCAUGCUUGAUACCUUAUUUGUUAGUUUAAUGAUUCAUGUGUUGACUACAUAUAGUUCUUUUUUGGUUUGAUUAUUUACUCUAAUAGCAUACUUUAUUUACUAUACUUUAAAGCUUGUUGUAAUCCACUUUGUACAGGGUUUUCUUUGACUCAGAAAAGUAGGCUAGAAAUCUAUUAAAUAAAUAAAUAUUACUGCUACUACUGAUAAUAAUAUUUGGCACAAUUUAAAAUCUCUGCUCGGAAAUGCAAAAUAAGGAGAAUAGUUACUUUGCAUGCCAGUGGAGGUAUUUUAGAUUCUGUCUCUUUCCACUUUUGGCUCUUCUUUCUUUUCAGUUGACCAGAACGCUCAUCUCUUCUUUGCAAUCAUUUUUCAUAGGAGAACAUUUGCAAUUGUGGUGGGUUUUUUUUAGUAAAAUAAUUAUCCACAGAUGUCAUUGAUUAGCCUUUCUCCUCCCAUGCUGAGAAUGUGAGAGAUACUGAGGAUCCAAUCUAGAUGGCACAUGAACAAGAAAGAGCCCCUUGCAAAAGGUCACAUUAUUUCAUUCUCAGAUACUGGUAGAAAACUUACAGCUCUUUUUCUCUUUGUUAUUUAAGCUCUUUGGUAAAUGAGACAUCAAACACAGGGGGCAGGAUCCUAUUAAGCACUUGCUAUCAGUGCUCCAACCCUCAUGCAUGAGUUGCUGAUACGCAUGGAUACAACUAUGAGGUUUAAUUUAUUGGAGGAAGAAUGAACGAGGAUUCAUGUCUUCACUCUGUGUUUCAUUUCAAAAGUUUUAUUGAAAUGUGCAGCUCUUCUGUAGCAGUUUUAUCACCUGGCACUCCACUCAUCUUUUGCCGUUCUCACCAAGUGCAUGGUGUAUGAGGUCAGAUCAUGCUGUGAGAAAAAAGGAGAUGUACGCUAAUGAGAAACAAUAUUAUC
Podarcis lilfordi (Lilford's wall lizard) is the source of this 5684-nucleotide non-coding RNA. NCBI's taxonomy places the organism in Eukaryota, Metazoa, Chordata, Lepidosauria, Squamata, Lacertidae. The record is from the annotation of a GenBank genome assembly.